GAUGAACGCUGGCGGCGUGCCUAAUACAUGCAAGUCGAGCGAACGGACGAGAAGCUUGCUUCUUUGAUGUUAGCGGCGGACGGGUGAGUAACACGUGGAUAACCUACCUAUAAGACUGGGAUAACUUCGGGAAACCGUAGCUAAUACCGGAUAAUAUUUUGAACCGCAUGGUUCAAAAGUGAAAGACGGUCUUGCUGUCACUUAUAGAUGGAUCCGCGCUGCAUUAGCUAGUUGGUAAGGUAACGGCUUACCAAGGCAACGAUGCAUAGCCGACCUGAGAGGGUGAUCGGCCACACUGGAACUGAGACACGGUCCAGACUCCUACGGGAGGCAGCAGUAGGGAAUCUUCCGCAAUGGGCGAAAGCCUGACGGAGCAACGCCGCGUGAGUGAUGAAGGUCUUCGGAUCGUAAAACUCUGUUAUUAGGGAAGAACAUAUGUGUAAGUAACUGUGCACAUCUUGACGGUACCUAAUCAGAAAGCCACGGCUAACUACGUG
RNAcentral lists this ribosomal RNA (497 nucleotides) under uncultured bacterium. RNAcentral's name for it is "partial 16S ribosomal RNA". It matches the Rfam family "Bacterial small subunit ribosomal RNA", at positions 28 to 507 of the family's 1533-position model. The record is from RNAcentral.